GAGGAAUUUUGGUCAAGAUUUCUGCCCUAAAGCUGUCCAACUAAGUUCUUGAGAAUGAUUGAUGGAAUGAAGUUGGAAGAAAGUUAGAAAUUUGGAAAAGGAUCUCAAGAGGACUUCGAGGGAACUCCCGGCGAAGCGUCUUAGAGCUAAUUUCUCAAACUUUGACUUUUGAUACUUGGUUUGGAAGUGGAAGUUCUGAGGCUUAAUUAGUGACCCCCAAAAAUAAUUUUUCCCCACAGGGCUCGAGGCCAAAGAAAGCGCUUGUAUUGAGUUAUUAGUGCCUGAAGGGAUAUCUCAUAUGUAAUUUGAAUUCGAUUCACUUGAUAAGUAUUUGAUGUAAUUAUUUGAGAACUGAGGACUUUUGUCUUAUUCGGGGAAUGAUACCCUUACUUGAGAUUUGUAAUGUAUCUUA
Coffea eugenioides is the source of this 412-nucleotide long non-coding RNA. RefSeq lists it as uncharacterized. NCBI's taxonomy places the organism in Eukaryota, Viridiplantae, Streptophyta, Magnoliopsida, Gentianales, Rubiaceae. The record is from RefSeq and is a predicted model, not a curated record. The transcript has 4 exons.